This 288-nucleotide ribosomal RNA is filed under the name uncultured bacterium. Its description in RNAcentral is "partial 16S ribosomal RNA". It matches the Rfam family "Bacterial small subunit ribosomal RNA", at positions 248 to 527 of the family's 1533-position model. The record is from RNAcentral.
GUUGGUAGGGUAACGGCCUACCAAGGCCGAGAUGGAUAGCUGGUCUGAGAGGAUGAUCAGCCACACUGGAACUGAGAUACGGUCCAGACUCCUACGGGAGGCAGCAGUGAGGAAUAUUGCGCAAUGGGGGCAACCCUGACGCAGCAACGCCGCGUGAGUGAAGAAGGCCUUCGGGUUGUAAAGCUCUGUCAGGCGGGAAGAAAGGCCGAUAGUUUAAUGGACUAUUGGUUUGACGGUACCGCCGGAGGAAGCACCGGCUAACUCCGUGCCAGCAGCCGCGGUAAGACG